AUGGAGUUACUGAAACACCAUCCACCUGUUGUCCAUAAAGGUUUUUUUUUGAGAGAAAAUGACACCAUAUCCAUUGGACAUGUUGUUGCCCAGAUCAUGGAUACCCACAAGGUUGAGAUAGUCCAAUUAGAAAUUUUAACAGAUGCGCAUUACUCCCGCCGUGACGAUGAUGAUCUGGUCCACCAUGGGAGAAAGUUUAUGUUGUUAUUUGAAACUUGCCUGACAGCAUUUGGCGGUCUCAGGCGCCUCAAGCUGGUUUUGGACCUCAUUGCAACCACAAAAUGGUCCAAGUUAAGUGAGUUUCUUGGUGGCACCUCUGUUCAUAACCCGAGGUUAGGAUUUGAGAGUGAAAAGGUGUCGGUCUAUGGUAUGCAGUUCGAGAGGCACACCCAGCAAACAAGGCUCCCGCCGCCGCCGCCCCUCACCCUCGGCCGCCUGCCCUCGUUCCUCCUCCCAUCUUGCCUCCCUCACCAAUUUCUCCGCUCGUCAGGGACGCACACUGCGCUGUCGCCCAUCCUUUUGCGUCGGGAAGGCAUCGACCCUGCCAUUCCUCCGCACGACCGGAGAUGCAGACGCCGUCGCCGCCCCCUCGCCCUCGGACGCCUGCCCUCGUUCCUCCUCCAAGCUCGCCUCCCUCGCCAAAUUGUCCGCUCGUCGGGGACGCACACUGCAUCGGGAAGACAUCGGGGAAGGCAUCGCCCCUGCCGUUCCUCCGCGCGACCGGAGAUGCAGAUGCCGCUGUUGUUCGCCCGCACGGCCAGGAAUGACACAAGUACCGAUGGACCCGUCCUCCUCAACUGCAGCAGUUCAGCAGACAACAAAACACAGAGGAGACGUUUGGUUCAGAUCAUGUUAACGCAAAUGCUGGUGAUGCUCUUGCGCUACCGUCGAUGGCGUCUCACUGCUCUACACAACGUACUGCCACCCCAUGGCCGUCGUGUUGUCCUCCUGGGCCGCCUGGUCGGCUCGACUGCUCUUGGUUGUCGCAUCCCACGCGAACCACGGCCCCUCCGCCCCUCCCUCGCCCCCUUGCCGGAGAUCAGAUUUGAGGAGACGAGAAAGAACGGGAGGGAUAACCCUGGGGAGAAGAAAGAGAAGGGCGAUGUAUCCGUGUCGCCGUCGCUGCCGUCGGAAGAUGGCUGCCCCGUCCCUGUCACUUCUGCCUUGUGGAGAAGACCCUCUAGCCUGUACGACCGCGCGCCCAAGCUAGCGCUACCGGCAGCAAGCCAGCAACUACGCCAUCAUUUCCUUGCCUAUAGUCCCUUAAACCUCUCACCAAACGUGUUCUUCCUCCCAUCUCAUCCUCGUGAAGGGGUUGAAAUGUCCUCUACUGACAACUGGAUAUUAGAUGUCUCAUUGAUCGUGCACGCAUGCCCGAUAAUUCUGUCAAUCAGUUUGGUUGCCCCUUGCCAUGUUUUAUUGGAGAGAAAAUGUGGCCAUGAGUUGAUAACUGAAACUGUCCCAAAUCUGGUGAUGCUUUUUUUCAUGUUGUUGCUUCUGCAGGUUCUGAUAAUCUUAUUCAUGGAUCAGGAAAUUAUAAUUUGUGACUUUGUAGUUCUCAGUAAAGACAAGCUGAUAGUUUUCACAAUGGACAUCCACAUCCUAUAG
RNAcentral lists this ribosomal RNA (1608 nucleotides) under Triticum aestivum (bread wheat). RNAcentral's name for it is "partial small subunit ribosomal RNA". Lineage: Eukaryota; Viridiplantae; Streptophyta; Magnoliopsida; Poales; Poaceae. The record is from RNAcentral.